GAUGAACGCUGGCGGCGUGCCUAAUACAUGCAAGUCGAGCGAACGGACGAGAAGCUUGCUUCUCUGAUGUUAGCGGCGGACGGGUGAGUAACACGUGGAUAACCUCCCUAUAAUUCUGGGAUAACUUCGGGAAACCGGAGCUAAUACCGGAUAAUAUUUUGAACCGCAUGGUUCAAAAGUAAAAGACGGUCUUGCUGUCACUUAUCGCUGGAUCCGCGCUGCAUUAGCUAGUUGGUAAGGUAACGGCUUACCACGGCGACGAGGCAUAGCCGACCGGUGAGGGGGAUCGCCCGCCCGGGAACGGGAACACGGUCCAGGCGCCUACGGGAGGCAGCAGAAGGGAAUCUUCCGCAAUGGGCGAAAACCUGACGGAGCAACGGGGCGUGAGUGAUGAAGGUCUUCGGAUCGUAAAACUCUGUUAUUAGGGAAAAACAUAUGUGUAAGUUACUGUGCACAGCUUGACGGUACCUAAUCAGAAAGCCACGGCUAACUACGUG
Molecule: ribosomal RNA, 497 nt
Filed under: uncultured bacterium
Lineage: Bacteria
Description: partial 16S ribosomal RNA
Rfam family: Bacterial small subunit ribosomal RNA
Source: RNAcentral